This 253-nucleotide ribosomal RNA is filed under the name uncultured bacterium. RNAcentral's name for it is "partial 16S ribosomal RNA". It matches the Rfam family "Bacterial small subunit ribosomal RNA", at positions 524 to 776 of the family's 1533-position model. The record is from RNAcentral.
UACAGAGGUCUCAAGCGUUGUUCGGAUUCAUUGGGCGUAAAGGGUGCGUAGGUGGCGGGGUAAGUCAGGUGUGAAGUCUCGGGGCUCAACCCCGAAACUGCACUUGAUACUGCCUUGCUCGAGUACUGGAGAGGAGAUUGGAAUUUACGGUGUAGCAGUGAAAUGCGUAGAUAUCGUAAGGAAGACCAGUGGCGAAGGCGAAUCUCUGGACAGUUACUGACACUGAGGCACGAAGGCCAGGGGAGCAAACGGG